Molecule: non-coding RNA, 73 nt
Organism: Cordylochernes scorpioides
Lineage: Eukaryota; Metazoa; Arthropoda; Arachnida; Pseudoscorpiones; Chernetidae
Source: the annotation of a GenBank genome assembly
UACAGGGUAUCCUAGUGGACAUGGCACCUGCCCGGUAAGCAGAAGGUUGUGGGUUCGAUUCCCGCCCCUGGAC